GAGGGGGGCAAGCGUUGUUCGGAAUUAUUGGGCGUAAAGGGCGCGUAGGCGGUUUGGCAAGUUUGGUGUGAAAUCUUCGGGCUCAACUCGAAGUCUGCACCGAAAACUGCCGGGCUUGAGUAUGGGAGAGGUGAGUGGAAUUUCCGGUGUAGCGGUGAAAUGCGUAGAUAUCGGAAGGAACACCUGUGGCGAAAGCGGCUCACUGGACCAUUACUGACGCUGAGGCGCGAAAGCUAGGGGAGCAAACAGGAUUAGAUACCCUGGUAGUCCUAGCCCUAAACGAUGAUUGCUUGAUGUGGCAGGUACCCAAUCCUGCCGUGUCGAAGCUAACGCGAUAAGCAAUCCGCCUGGGGAGUACGGUCGCAAGGCUGAA
This 373-nucleotide ribosomal RNA is filed under the name uncultured bacterium. Its description in RNAcentral is "bacterial SSU rRNA". It matches the Rfam family "Bacterial small subunit ribosomal RNA", at positions 527 to 898 of the family's 1533-position model. The record is from RNAcentral.